This is a long non-coding RNA of Helianthus annuus (common sunflower), 559 nucleotides long. RefSeq lists it as uncharacterized. Lineage: Eukaryota; Viridiplantae; Streptophyta; Magnoliopsida; Asterales; Asteraceae. The record is from RefSeq and is a predicted model, not a curated record. The transcript is spliced from 2 exons.
UUGAAUGAAUGAGAUUGUUGUGUGAUCAUAAACUCAUGGAACAUGCUUUAUAGACUUGUACCUUGUACCAUAUCCAUAAUGCCUACCAUGUGUUCGAUAAAAUGCCUAAAUGAGGAAUGUAUGUGUAUUUUGGAAAAAUGGUAGAAUGAAGCGAUAAACUAAACAAAGGAAUGAAUGUCGUGAUGUAGGCAUAAAGGAAGAAGGUACAAGCACCAAGAAACCGGAAGGCGCGCAAGAUCGAGGUAAAGCACCUCUUUAGGCGAUUUGGAGAUAUGGGACGAGCACAUGUUCAAGCCUUAUGAUACCAAGCGCUUCCGCAACUUAUAUGCAUGCUUUUGGGUCAUGUUUAUUACUUGUUAAACUUGUUGAAAUGUUUUAGAAUUGAAAACUUGUUGUUUUUGUUGGGAUGGUUUUAUGUUAAAUAGGUCGUAGUGUAAACGUUGUAAGUUAUGUCAAAACAGGGGGUAUGCUCGUUUUACAAACGGGUCAUGCCCAAAUUUUGUAAAAAUUUUCUAUUAAGUGUCAAAAUUGUAUUUCAAUGUCCGAAAGAUCUUGCUUA